CAGUUCGGAUUGUAGUCUGNAACCCGACUACAUGAAGCUGGAAUCGCUAGUAAUCGCGGAUCAGAAUGCCGCGGUGAAUACGUUCCCGGGUCUUGUACACACCGCCCGUCACACCAUGGGAGUCGGAAAUGCCCGAAGUCUGUGACCCAACCGUAAGGAGGGAGCAGCCGAAGGCAGGUCGGAUGACUGGGGUGAAGUCGUAACAAGGUACC
Molecule: ribosomal RNA, 212 nt
Filed under: uncultured bacterium
Lineage: Bacteria
Description: partial 16S ribosomal RNA
Rfam family: Bacterial small subunit ribosomal RNA
Source: RNAcentral